Molecule: long non-coding RNA, 885 nt
Organism: Phacochoerus africanus (Common warthog)
Lineage: Eukaryota; Metazoa; Chordata; Mammalia; Artiodactyla; Suidae
Exons: 4
Source: RefSeq, a predicted model, not a curated record
CCCUCUCCGGCCGCCAUGAUUGUGAGGGGCAGCGUCGGCCCAGUAGGCUGUCGCAGCGCUGGCCUGCGUCGGGAGUGUGAGUGGCAGGCGGCUGCCUGACCCCCCCGGGGCCCCCUGGAGGCGGUGAAGAAUCCAGACACCCGGGGGUAUCGGACGCUAACUGCGGCUGGGGGUGGAAAGGGGGUGUUUGGGAUCCAGCCGGCGCGAGCUUUCGCGGCUAAUUCGCAGUUUGAUCCGGAUAAUUCUGACGGAGGUGAAGGGAGAUACAUAUGAAAUGGCCGGCAAAUGGUCAGUACUCACUGGAAGCAGUACGUGACUAGGAGGGGGAUUGUAUGGGUUUGUUCACAGGACAGUGACACCUAACAGAAAAAAAAAAAAAAAAAGACCUUCAUCUCCAGCAUGGGCCCUUGUUUUCAGCUCUGAAUGAUUAAGUUCCCAGUCAUAUUCAUCAUUCUCAGUGUAGGACAUCAAUGAGAGUAAGGAUGGCCUUAGGAAAAGGGCCUUCUCACACUGCCCUGCAGAUGAUCAAAUGCAGUAUCUCCUCAAAGAGAGAGCUCCAAAACCCCUUGGAAUUUCCUGCGUGAUAGAAGCAUCUUUGGUGGGCUCUGGAUGAGGGCUAGUACCAGAAAGACUAAGCAUCAUUGCAACCUUGGAACUUUCAUCUUCCUGGGACAGGAUCGGGCUAGGGAUUGAGAUAAUAAUCAGUCCUGCCUUAUGAUGACACCUCCGCAACAUCCAGAUGCCAGGUAGCUGCCGCACACCCUCCACCAGGACAGGAGCUCGGCUCUCAGGACCCUUCCAGAUCUCACCCUGAGCAUCUCUCCAUCUGGCUGCUCAUCUGUGUCUGUAUUCUUUAUCAUAUAAUAAACCAUGAGAUGUACAGGA